RNAcentral lists this ribosomal RNA (163 nucleotides) under Calamagrostis brachytricha. RNAcentral describes it as "5.8S ribosomal RNA". It matches the Rfam family "5.8S ribosomal RNA". Rfam says of the family: 5.8S ribosomal RNA (5.8S rRNA) is a component of the large subunit of the eukaryotic ribosome. RNAcentral also lists the same sequence under 2 other names. Lineage: Eukaryota; Viridiplantae; Streptophyta; Magnoliopsida; Poales; Poaceae. The record is from RNAcentral.
CACAUGACUCUCGGCAACGGAUAUCUCGGCUCUCGCAUCGAUGAAGAACGUAGCGAAAUGCGAUACCUGGUGUGAAUUGCAGAAUCCCGCGAACCAUCGAGUCUUUGAACGCAAGUUGCGCCCGAGGCCAUUCGGUCGAGGGCACGCCUGCCUGGGCGUCACG